Non-coding RNA from Marasmius tenuissimus, 91 nucleotides. Lineage: Eukaryota; Fungi; Basidiomycota; Agaricomycetes; Agaricales; Marasmiaceae. The record is from the annotation of a GenBank genome assembly.
UCCCUGGUAGUAUAUCGGUUAGUACACGCGCCUGUCAUGGUUUGUGAACUAGAGGACGCGCGAAAGCUGGGUUCGACUCCCAGCCAGGGAG